Molecule: ribosomal RNA, 405 nt
Filed under: uncultured cyanobacterium
Lineage: Bacteria; Bacillati; Cyanobacteriota
Description: bacterial SSU rRNA
Rfam family: Bacterial small subunit ribosomal RNA
Source: RNAcentral
UGGGGAAUUUUCCGCAAUGGGCGAAAGCCUGACGGAGCAAGACCGCGUGAGGGAGGAAGGCCCUAGGGUUGUAAACCUCUUUUCUCUGGGAAGAAGAAUGACGGUACCAGAGGAAUAAGCCUCGGCUAACUCCGUGCCAGCAGCCGCGGUAAUACGGAGGAGGCAAGCGUUAUCCGGAAUGAUUGGGCGUAAAGAGUUCGUAGGUGGUAAUGAAAGUUUGCCGUUAAAGACUAAGGCUUAACCUUAGGAGAGCGGUGAAAACUACAUAACUAGAGUAUGGAAGGGGCAGAGGGAAUUCUUGGUGUAGCGGUGAAAUGCGUAGAGAUCAAGAGGAACAUCGGUGGCGAAAGCGCUCUGCUAGGCCAAAACUGACACUGAGGAACGAAAGCUAGGGGAGCGAAAGGG